Molecule: ribosomal RNA, 307 nt
Filed under: uncultured bacterium
Lineage: Bacteria
Description: bacterial SSU rRNA
Rfam family: Bacterial small subunit ribosomal RNA
Source: RNAcentral
UAUCCAUCUCGUAUGGAUUAAAGCUUUACGCGCUUUGGGAGGGGCCUGCGUAACAUUACGCUUGUUGGUGAGGUAAAAGCUCACCAAGGCUUCGAUGUUUAACUGGUUUGAGAGGAUGACCAGUCACACUGGGACUGAGAUACGGCCCAGACUCCUACGGGAGGCAGCAGUAAGGAAUCUUCCACAAGUGGGGGCCAACCCUGAUGGAGCAAUACCGCGUGCAGGAUGAAGCGUUUCGGCGUGUAAACUGCUUUUAUCACCGAAGAUUAUGACUGUAGGUGAAGAAUAAGGACCGGCUAACUACGUG